ACGAACGCUGGCGGCGUGCUUCACACAUGCCAGUCGAACGGAAAGGCCCUGCUUUUGUGGGGUGCUCGAGUGGCGAACGGGUGAGUAACACGUGAGUAACCUGCCCUUGACUUUGGGUUAACUUCAGGAAACUGGGGCUAAUACCGGAUAGGAGCUCCUGCUGCAUGGUGGGGGUUGGAAAGUUUCGGCGGUUGGGGAUGGACUCGCGGCUUAUCAGCUUGUUGGUGGGGUAGUGGCUUACCAAGGCUUUGACGGGUAGCCGGCCUGAGAGGGUGACCGGCCACAUUGGGACUGAGAUACGGCCCAGACUCCUACGGGAGGCAGCAGUGGGGAAUAUUGCACAAUGGGCGGAAGCCUGAUGCAGCAACGCCGCGUGCGGGAUGACGGCCUUCGGGUUGUAAACCGCUUUCGCCUGUGACGAAGCGUGAGUGACGGUAAUGGGUAAAGAAGCACCGGCUAACUACGUG
This 467-nucleotide ribosomal RNA is filed under the name uncultured bacterium. RNAcentral describes it as "partial 16S ribosomal RNA". It matches the Rfam family "Bacterial small subunit ribosomal RNA", at positions 29 to 507 of the family's 1533-position model. The record is from RNAcentral.